This is a long non-coding RNA of Drosophila grimshawi, 247 nucleotides long. RefSeq lists it as uncharacterized. The record is from RefSeq and is a predicted model, not a curated record. The transcript is spliced from 3 exons. Lineage: Eukaryota; Metazoa; Arthropoda; Insecta; Diptera; Drosophilidae.
GCUGGUACCAUCGGAAGUCUCCACACUGAACCUUCGGGCCCGACCUCAGAAUCGUGUCGCACAAUUUCAACUUCAGGUCUUGCCAGAGCGAUGGCGAAGAGGGCGACGAAGACGAUGAGGAACUUCAUGUUUAGAUUUUGUGUAGUGCGUUUGAGGCUUCAAAGGUGUCCAGUUGAUAUAACAAUAGCAAAGAAGCAUCAUAUAAGUUUACGAUAAACUAGUUUAGCACGAACGUAUCUGAAGUUUG